RNAcentral lists this ribosomal RNA (215 nucleotides) under uncultured bacterium. RNAcentral describes it as "partial 16S ribosomal RNA". It matches the Rfam family "Bacterial small subunit ribosomal RNA", at positions 57 to 305 of the family's 1533-position model. The record is from RNAcentral.
GCAAGUCGAACGGGUUAAGACCCAUGGCAGACGAGGUAGGAACACGUAGGUACAUACCCCAAAGUCAGGGAUAACCCGGAGAAAUCCGGAAUAAUACUUGAUAGUCUCGAAGAGUAAAGAUUUAUCGCUUUGGGAAUGGCCUGCGGGCUAUCAGCUUGUUGGUACGGUAACGGCGUACCAAGGCUAUGACGGCUAGGGGGGGUGAGAGCCUGACC